Fopius arisanus is the source of this 675-nucleotide long non-coding RNA. RefSeq lists it as uncharacterized. The record is from RefSeq and is a predicted model, not a curated record. The transcript is spliced from 9 exons. NCBI's taxonomy places the organism in Eukaryota, Metazoa, Arthropoda, Insecta, Hymenoptera, Braconidae.
CUUCGGUUCAACCAAAACUUUCGCCUAAUUUUCGUUCAUUUCCGUUGGAGCAACAGACUAGAUCGGUGUUCGUCAUUCCUCUGGUUCCAAGACGACGCGGCAAUGCACGUGGGACGCUUUGAUUUUUUGAGGUUAAAAGUGGACGCAAUUAUGAAUCUAAAAUACUCUUUCCAAAUCAAGUGAGAAGGGACUGAAACUAAUGCGAAUGAUGGACCCAAAUCAAUAAAAUCUACAUCAAUCACGAGGUGAACCUGAGGUUAUUGAUGGGAAUUAAUGCAAUUUCUCUGGUCUUCAUGAAGAAAGCAUGUAUCCAGAUGGUGAACUGCACGUUGCGGGACAAUCUCAGAGUGUUCUCUUCGUCAUCAGGAAGUAAUUAAUAUUUAUGCCAAGGAUUCUGUUGAUUUGAUGAGCUCCAGAGAUAUUCAAUUAAUAUUGGCGUAAUUCAACUACCCCUUAGGAGAGACAUCUGAGAGAUCUGAUAAUCUCUUCCGACAACAGAUCGUCAAAAAGGAAUUUCGACAAUUCCAGAGUUAUCAACAAAUUAAACACAGCUGCAAAUCUAUAUGGUGAAAGCUACCAACAAAUAUCAACUUAAUAUACUUGAAGAAUCAAUCAACAAAUGUGAACUAAACUUAUAACGACCUUUGGUAAAUAAAAUUUUUAAUAAUAAAGUCA